Molecule: ribosomal RNA, 501 nt
Filed under: Triticum aestivum (bread wheat)
Lineage: Eukaryota; Viridiplantae; Streptophyta; Magnoliopsida; Poales; Poaceae
Description: partial small subunit ribosomal RNA
Source: RNAcentral
AUGGAAUCAAGUGAGAAGACUGCUGCAACUGUUGGCCCCUCGUCGAGGAUGAAGACGACGAAAUCAACAGAUCGAUUUGGUACGAUUCCGCUGGCAUCCCGACUGUCUCGUGUCAAAAACGUCUCAGUCAUCCGAUCUGAAGCUCCGGGGAACAAGCGGAAGCUGCCUGUGUCGCAGAUGAACCCACUCGGCCCUUUUCACACGCAAUGUGGAGCUGCUGGACGACGGCGACCUCCUCUCUCUGAUUCAGCUCAGAUAAACAUAUCAACUGUGGAAGAAAGCCUAGAACUAAGAAAUGCUGGUACCACAGACGGUGAUGAGAUUACCUGCUGGACUGUUCAGACCGACACCCCGCAUUACCCAGAAAAAUAUGAGCAAGUGUACAUGUUGAAGCCAGAGGUACGACAAACUACAAGAUACCCACCACCAUCAACACCGGGUGAUGAGAGCAGUGUACCGCAUCAUGGACAUAUGAUGCGUGCUGCUAUGCAUAAACAAUGA